Molecule: long non-coding RNA, 1874 nt
Organism: Acanthochromis polyacanthus (spiny chromis)
Lineage: Eukaryota; Metazoa; Chordata; Actinopteri; Pomacentridae
Exons: 2
Source: RefSeq, a predicted model, not a curated record
AUCCGCGGUUCAAAUCACGGGAUGGGCCUGGGAUCUUUCUGCAUGGAGUUUGCAUGUUCGACCUGUGCAUGCGUGGGUUUUCUCCGGGCACUCCGGGUUCCUCCCGCAGUCCAAAAAUAUGCUGAGAUUAAUUGAUUUACUCUAAAUUGCCCAUAGGUGUGAAUGUGAGUGUGAUUGUCUGUAUAUGUAGCCGUGCGACACGACGCUGAAGUUAGCUUCCGAUUCGGCACUUAAGGGAAAAGUUAAGGGGAAAUUAAAUGAACGUGCGGUGCAACAGUUUAUCCACUGAUUAUCUGUUUUUUUCGACACUUCUUGAUGUGUAAACAUUUUAGACAUUUGGGUAAGACAUUAACUAUGCCUGACAAGAGAAACUGUCACAGUACCAGUUGUAUUUUUGUUAUUGAGUUUGUAUUUUAGUUGCAUGGUUUGGAGUGGUCAUUUUAAUUGUUUAGUUUUCAUUUUAUAGUUGCAUGGUUUUGUUUGCAGUGGUCAUUUUGUUAUGUUUUUAUUUUGUAGUUGCAUGGGUUUAUUUUGAGUGUGCAUGUUGUUUACUGGGUGGAGUGAUCUUUCUUUGUUGUGAGUUGUAAUUAGUGAAUACAGCUGGCACUGAUUAGUGGAGACUGCCAUUGAUUGGACAGAGCUACCUGAGCUGAUGAACAAAAGAGGGACACGUGCAAGAAAGGAGCGCACAGGGGAAGAGAAGGAGAGGAGUAACAGGGCGACUGCGAGAAGAACUGGGGACAGACGGGGAACAAAGUGGAGCGACACGAGAGUGGAUCGAGCCAAAGAAACUCCACGCUACAUGCAGUAAGCAGCGCUGGUUCGAGGGGAGAGGACGGAGGCGGACUGAGUCGGGUCGUGGCUGUACGGAGGCAGGAACUGAAGGCUGAAGACUCUGGAACCGAUGAUACUCAGAGGGAGCUGGAGCAGCUCACCAUGGCAGUGUUUGUCAUUCAGAAGGAGGGGGAAGGACUUCAGGAGCCACCUGAAGACAUUGGCAUCGUCAUUGACGGCAUGGAAGUACUGCAUGAACUGACUUCGGUUGCCUCAGCUUGUGCCCUGCUUUUCGGUUUGAUUUAUGCACUAAACCUAGCUGAUCCAAAACCCCUUUGCUUCACUUUUGAAGUACUCCAAAAAAUCCUGUUGUGGCUUGAUCAGGAUAAGAUGUCCCCCAAAGUCUGUAAUCUGUAUAGCAAACUUCAAAGCUCACAGUAACGACACACCACAAUGAAUUCCUCCUCUGGGCCAACAAACAGCCUAGUGCCAUACUGUGAAAGAACAAUGGUGUUUGUACAUAAUGCAUUUAAAAAAACGUGUCUCUUUCAGUUGUUGGGCCUUAUUUUAAUUCUCGAUGAGACUCAACAAAUGUUCCUGAAAACCACAAUUUGAAGUGCUUUUACACUGAUUUUUUCAUGGGUUUGGCAGAAGUUUUUCUCCAAACAUAUUUCCUUCUGUUUGUAGGAAAAGGUUGCAUUUCAAUUUGGUGUGUUCAGUUACACAACAAACAGUUGUGACCAUGUGUAACUGUGAUUUAAUACUCUCAUAGAAGUGUUCAUAUUUUUUCAUUCCCAUUAUUCAGUGAUAGUGUUCAGAUCCAUAAUAUUCACUGGCUUUAGUUGAUGAAAGAGGUUUCUGCAUAGUCUUGGCACGUUUUCAUAGUUGUGAGAACACUGUUGAUAUUGUUAGGCAUAUUUGUGUCAUACUUUGAUGCACUAUCUUGCACUUUGCCAACAAAAGUAAUUUGUGCUGUUACUAACAGUUAUGCAUUUUGUGCAUGUGUUUUAAAAAGGACAAAUGUGCACUGUGUUGGCCCAAAAGCUGUGUUGGCGGUCAUGAAUUUAACAUUUACACAAUAAAGUAUAACAAAAAACCAA